AUAGAUGCAACACACGCUGGCAGACGAGCAAGAAGUGCUCUUCUGUCCAGCUCGUGUUGUGCCCCUGCGCCCCUGUGCAUAGAGCUAAGUAGAAAAGCGUAAGACUCCUGAUCCGAUUCAACUUGUUCAUACGUUUGCAAGGCAAGUUUAUGAGCUAUUUGAUUAGUUGAAAUAAACAUGUCAUUCAAUUUAUACGUCAAAUCCGCGUGCCAGGGGGUGGCUGCCGCCAGCCAAGCCAAGCCCAGCGCGUGGCUUAUUCCAUCUCCGGCAUCCGGAGCAAGCGAGAAGGGGCGGUGGCAGGAGAAUAUUCUCGAGGGAGGGCAGGGAGUUUUUUUUUUCACGAAAUGGUACGUGUAACUAUGAUAAUGAUUCAUGAAGAAGAG
RNAcentral lists this long non-coding RNA (383 nucleotides) under Setaria viridis. Its description in RNAcentral is "long non-coding RNA (SVIR_LNC002380)". The record is from RNAcentral. Lineage: Eukaryota; Viridiplantae; Streptophyta; Magnoliopsida; Poales; Poaceae.